GGGUUUGUCGGCUCGCACUUGCAGUCGCGGGAGAGUCUGUGACUCUUCGGGUCCAGAGGAGACCGGCGGAUGGGUGAGUAACGCGUAGGUAAUCUGCCAUUAGGACUGGGAUAACCCACCGAAAGGUGAGCUAAUACCGGAUGAUGCAGCGGGGCCGCAUGGCCACAGUUGUUAAAUCCUUCGGGAGCCUAAUGAUGAACCUGCGUGCCAUUAGCUAGUUGGUAGGGUCAAAGCCUACCAAGGCAAUGAUGGCUAGGGGGUCUGAGAGGAUGAUCCCCCACACUGGGACUGAGACACGGCCCAGACUCCUACGGGAGGCAGCAGUGAGGAAUCUUGCGCAAUGGAGGAAACUCUGACGCAGCCACGCCGCGUGCUGGAAGACGGCCCUAUGGGUUGUAAACAGCUUUUACUAGGGAAGAACCUGGACCUUUCGAGGACCACUGACGGUACCUAGUGAAUAAGCACCGGCUAACUCCGUGCCAGCAGCCGCGGUAAUACGGAGGGUGCAAGCGUUGUCCGGAAUCAUUGGGUGUAAAGGGUGUGCAGGCGGAGGUCUAAGUCGGAGGUGAAAUCUUACCGCUUAACGGUAUAAGUGCCUUCGAAACUGGAUUUCUUGAGUUCGGAAGAGGUUGGUGGAAUUCCUGGUGUAGCGGUGAAAUGCAUAGAUAUCACGAAGAACACCGGUGGCUAAGGCGGCCAACUGGUCCGAUACUGACGCUGAGACACGAGAGCGUGGGGAGCUAACAGGAUUAGAUACCCUGGUAGUCCACGCUGUAAACUAUGCAUGCUAGCUGUUGUCCCUUUGGGGGCAGUGACGCAGUUAUCAGCAGCAAGCAUGCCACCUGGGGAGUACGUUCGCAAGAAUGAAAC
Molecule: ribosomal RNA, 870 nt
Filed under: Fodinibius sp.
Lineage: Bacteria; Pseudomonadati; Balneolota; Balneolia; Balneolales; Balneolaceae
Description: bacterial SSU rRNA
Rfam family: Bacterial small subunit ribosomal RNA
Source: RNAcentral